Molecule: long non-coding RNA, 1686 nt
Organism: Homo sapiens (human)
Lineage: Eukaryota; Metazoa; Chordata; Mammalia; Primates; Hominidae
Product: long intergenic non-protein coding RNA 1505
Source: Ensembl
GAGUUGGAAUUGAGAAUUCAGAAAACAUGAUAGAGAAGGAACAGGAAGAAACCAUUUGGACAUCCAAAAAUAAAAGGCCAGAAUCUCACUUUGUUGCCCAGGCUGGUGGUCUCUAACUCCUGGACUUAAGCAAUCCUCCCGCCUCAGCCUCCCAAAGUGCUGGGAUCACAGGUCUGAUUAUAAAAGGAGAAUUGGAGGCUUACCAAACAUCUGAAGAGCUUUCCAGAAGUUUGGUCACUUCUGAAUUAGAGAAGUUAAAACCCAAUCACCUACUAAUGCUGUGGGAAAGUUCUGCAGGUGAUACAUCACAGGGGCUCAUGAAUGUGUCUUAAGCUGGGUCAUUGAAGUGGAAUGUUUUCACAAGACCUCCUCCACUUGCUACUGUGUCCGGAAUUGGUGGGUUCUUGGUCUCACUGACUUCAAGAAUGAAGCCGCGGACCCUCGCGGGAGUGGCAAAUCAAAGGCAUUGCAGCCUCUUUCAUCACUGCCGAUUGCUGAUGCCAACCAUGUGCCAAGUGCUUAAUACGUCACCUUAAAUCUUCUCAUCCACCCUCAGAGUAGCUGCAGCAUCAACCCAGUGCCCUGACUUUCAAGACGACUAUGAAAACACCCCAACUGCUGCUAAAUUACCAGCAACAAGGAUCUGACAUUCUUAUUCAAAAGAAAGAACACCGAAAUUGACCUUACCCUGACAAUAUGAUGGCUGAAGGAUUUAUGAUCACUUAUAACAUUUGAAAUUGAGGCGGAACCUGAAGAAUAAGACUCUGGUGAAAGGUCCUAUUUAUGCUUUUGAUGUCUUUCACUUGGACAUUUACCACAUGCCUAUUGGUAGGUUUGUUACAUAGGUCAGUUAAGGUGAUACAAGAAUAAAUAAAACACUAUCCCUAUCCUUUAAUAUCAUUUAUUUAUGGGGUCAAUCACAGAUUUUCAUUUUUCAAAAUCUUUGAUAAAUGUCAGAAUUAUGUUUUUUAAUAUUUUUACAGAAUUAUUACAAUAUAUGGUAGAGGAUGGAAGGCAAGGUAGUAUGAAACGGAAAAGAUAUUUUGAAUUAAGGUAUUUGGACCUGGAUUAAUAUUUUUGCUUUGGUCUUUAUUAGCUGAGUGACCUUGAGAAAGUUCUUCUACUAAAAAAGAACAAAGAUAAUAAUUACUUCAUGAAAUUGCUGUAAAAAACACAUAACAAGUAUAUCCAGACUCAACAGUGUAUGCUCAAAAAUGCAGAUCCUUUUUCCCUUACCUGCAAAUAAAGUCUUACAGUAAUACAGUGGGGGUAAAGGUUUAAACUGGUGGAUUCAAGAAGGGCUAUAGAAAGAGGUAGCAUCUUAAUAGGGGAAGGAGAGGAUCCAAGAAAUCAGAUCCAUUUUCUACAAAAAGAAAUGGGAAGACAGAUAAUUCAAGAAGAAAAGUUUACAUGAUUAAAGACCCGAAGUUAGAAAUAGUGAUGUGUCUCAAUAGUAAGUUAGGAAUUGGGGUGGACACAAUUGUUGGAAGAAGGAUGGUUUCAGCAAAGGCCCAAGUUAGGUGACAAUUUCAAGUGUUUGUGAAGAUAUAUGAACAAAAUUAUAAAGUAGUUAGGGUAUAAGAAAUAGGGAGGAGGGAAUGAAUUAACAUUUAUGGAGUGUCUUGCAUGUUCCAAGCACUGUACUACUUGCCUUAUAAACCUUUCUUCAAUAAACGCCUACAACAA